Molecule: ribosomal RNA, 253 nt
Filed under: uncultured bacterium
Lineage: Bacteria
Description: partial 16S ribosomal RNA
Rfam family: Bacterial small subunit ribosomal RNA
Source: RNAcentral
UACGAAGGGGGCUAGCGUUGUUCGGAAUUACUGGGCGUAAAGCGCACGUAGGCGGAUUGUUAAGUUAGGGGUGAAAUCCCAGGGCUCAACCCUGGAACUGCCUUUAAUACUGGCAAUCUCGAGUCCGAGAGAGGUGAGUGGAAUUCCGAGUGUAGAGGUGAAAUUCGUAGAUAUUCGCAAGAACACCAGUGGCGAAGGCGGCUCACUGGCCCGAUACUGACGCUGAGGUGCGAAAGCGUGGGGAGCAAACAGG